This 839-nucleotide long non-coding RNA is filed under the name Mytilus galloprovincialis (Mediterranean mussel). The record is from RNAcentral. Lineage: Eukaryota; Metazoa; Mollusca; Bivalvia; Mytilida; Mytilidae.
UAUACUGAACGACUUUAGAAACGCAACACUCAUUUUGUUGAUUUUUUUUACCAAAUCUUUUUUGAUUCUCUUACAACUACUUUUCAUGCUUAUCAUGCUUCUUUCUCCUUACAAAAAAUCAAAAUCAGACUUACCUGCGGUUAUUGAACAUACCGUUUUUUUGAAGUCGCACGAAUUUCUUAAAGCGAAAUUUUUGUCCCAUGAAAGAUUGUUUCAGUUUUUUUGCUUUGUGAAACAUUUCUUUCAAUCCUUUGCCUUACUUACUUUUUUUUUAAAUGUUGCAUCUCCAUUUUGCCAAGUCUGAGAAAUAAAAAAAAACAAAAGAACUGAAUUAACCCUUAAGAAUACUGCAAACAUGAAAACAUAAAUGUGCUGCAACCAUACCGUAUGACUUCAGAAACUCGUUCUACUGUCCUUCCGACAACGAUACAAGUAGACAAGAUUUGUUGAUGGCCAUCAAUGAACAGAUCAACGUGUAGUGACAAUGAAACAUCAACAGAAUUUGAUUAUGCAACGUCAUUUGCCAAUCAUGUACACGGCCGCAAAGUCAACUGCUAACCAAAUUGCCGAGUGCCAUUGAGUACAGAUUCAUGCCAUAAAUGUUUCCCAUGAACUGCAUUGCCAAUGAAUUGACUGAAGGAAAACCUGUAAAGCCCUCAAGUUCCAACCGCAUAAUUGCCAAAACCAAUUAAUGGGUUGGACAAAUGCAAAAUCAGAAGGUGUAAAACAGAACCCAAAAAAUGUCAGACAGAAUUUGUUGACCUUUCUGACAAUCAUUUUGGCGUUAGUAACAGGCAGUCAUCGCUUUUGACGUUGACACAUUCAUUCAAAAAUAACAC